Molecule: long non-coding RNA, 2146 nt
Organism: Neogale vison (American mink)
Lineage: Eukaryota; Metazoa; Chordata; Mammalia; Carnivora; Mustelidae
Exons: 2
Source: RefSeq, a predicted model, not a curated record
CCGCACACAGGCCUCUGCCACUGCUUUGCCCUGACCCAAGCGUGAGCCACUCAGCGUGGCCACGAGGAGGGUGGCCCAUGGGCAGGUGCCGGAGUUCUGAGGGGCCUUCCUGACCACCUCAGCUCCCUGCGGACAAGCCUGGGGGUUCCAGCCCUGAUUGGCCUCCUCGGUGACCAGGGUUUUGCUUCCCCGUGGGACGCUGCUCCGUGGCAGUCUAUCACCAGAUAUAUUUUUCGUUGAAAUAUGGAGCCACAGCAACACCUUCACUUCUCCCGUUCAGACAGAUCACGGCCAUCGCUGUUACAAGAGGCAGGCCCGUGACCUUGACGAGGGCAGGCUGGGGCAGAGAACACACCACUGGCCAGGACGUGGACCCUUUAUGGGAGCUACAGGUACGAAGAGGGGGCAGAUGGCAACACGCCAUUGAUGCCUGCUGGCAGAUGUCACAGCCUGGGGGGAGGGCACUGGGAAAAAGCUCCCCUUUCCCCAGGGGCUCAGCUGGGGCUGCAGGCCACGGAGCUGGGAGCGUGUUUGCGGAUGCGCACACGCACCACGGCUCCUGCAAGAAGAUGCCGUCAGGCCCCUGCUGGAGUCCCCACGGUCCUUGUUCCCUGGGGACCAACAGCCUUUGCAGGGUAACCUAACCAGGUCAGCUGACCAGGGCCAGGGGCCCGCGUGUGGAGGAGGUCAGGGCCAUGGAUACUGUGACACACAAGUCCUUCUGGGGCAAGGCCCAGACGAUGCUCAGAGCAUGGCACGACUGCCCACAUGGUCCCGAGGCAGCUCCUGUGAUCCAUGACAGCCCCAGCCCUGAGAAGGGGGAGAUUUCACUCCUAGGGUCUUCUCCUGGCUCUGGAUACCUGGGGCAAAAAAAGGGCCUCAGCCAUUUACUAUCUCAGGAGGAGGGUGGAGGCCCCGUCCCUGAGGCCUGCAUCGUUCUCCGCCUCCCCUCCCGGGUUCCGCUCUGGUGAGAGAUACAGGGAGAAGGGCAGGCUAUCCCCCAGCGCACGGGGAGGACAGGGGGGAAGGCCCGGGGCUUCUUCCAGCCCUUCACAUACGGCUGCUCGGCAACGUGUUUCUGGGGACCCGGCUUGAGGGCCAGCCUGGUGGGACCCGCUCAGCGACGGCGCAGCCAGCUGUCUCAGGUGGCACUUCACAAAUAAACGGUGACUCUGUCCAUUCCAGGCUGACAUGGAGAGAGACCCUUUUGGAGGCGCAGUGAGGGGCACUGGCCUGGGAUCCGAGAACUCCGAGGGCUGGCCAGGCCCUACUGCCCAGCGGCCCGCACCUUGGGAGCCUGGCUAGCGGAGGUCAGGGCUGGGGGUUUAGAGCGAAAGGUCUCCCCAGCCUUGUGAGCCAAGCUUUGCGAGGUUCUGGGCUCCCAGGCAGAAACCUCUGCUGCACUGUGGGGUCUCAGGGCCGGGAGCAGCUCCUGCCCUUUACAGGAGAAGCCCCAGAUGAGGCCUCAGGAAGUCGAGCUGGAGGGAAGGGCUGGAAAGACAGCCGUCCAGAGCGGUGCCCCUCAGCUGAGCACCGGCAGCCCCAAGAGGCCCAGAUGGGGAGGAACAACUCCCCCCCACCACCACCACCGUGGGGAGCUGGCUCCUUGCCAAGCCAUAGAAGCGAUGCCCGUAAAUCCUGCCUGGUGGUCACCUCUAAGCUCUAGCUUGCGCCUUCAGGACGGCACAAACCUCCUCCGGGGCUCUGCUUUCCAGCUGUAGACCCUGCAUGAGGUCUUGGGGGUCCCCUGGCCAGGGCAGCCAGGUGCGGUCAUUAAAGCAAACACACUCUCCGGGUGGAUCCCCCGCGGGGCGGGGGCAGCCCGUGGCAACGGGAGUCAUGGAUGAGCCAAUGAGAAACCAAACACACAUCUCAAAGCCAAUCAAAGGCAAACACAAACAAAACUUGGGGAAGCAGCAGCAAGCUUUGUGUAAUAAAUAUUGCAGAGCGCACUUGGUUUCUUUCUUUCUUUCUUUUUUUUUUCUUUUCAAGUCAAAUAUAACAACCAAUGUCCCGAACCCUGUUUUCAGCAUUCAAAAGAGAGAAGCUGUUGCUAUCAGCAGAACACCUGCAGCCAAUCAAAGAAAAAAACCAUUCCCCGCUAGCCGGCCAAUCAAAAUCCUUUUCCAGUUUAAGCAGCCAAUCA